UACGGAGAGUGCAAGCGUUGUUCGGAAUCACUGGGCGUAAAGCGAGUGUAGGCGGUCCCGCAUGUCGGGUGUGAAAGCCCACGGCUCAACCGUGGCGGGUCACCCGAAACUGCGGGACUUGAGUUCGGGAGAGGGAAGCGGAAUUCCCGGUGUAGAAGUGAAAUUCGUAGAUAUCGGGAGGAACACCAGUGGCGAAGGCGGCUUCCUGGACCGAUACUGACGCUGAGACUCGAAAGCGUGGGGAG
Molecule: ribosomal RNA, 245 nt
Filed under: uncultured delta proteobacterium
Lineage: Bacteria; Deltaproteobacteria
Description: partial 16S ribosomal RNA
Rfam family: Bacterial small subunit ribosomal RNA
Source: RNAcentral